GAGUUUGAUCCUGGCUCAGAUUGAACGCUGGCGGCAUGCUUUACACAUGCAAGUCGAACGGCAGCACGGGUGCUUGCACCUGGUGGCGAGUGGCGAACGGGUGAGUAAUGCAUCGGAACGUACCCAGUCGUGGGGGAUAACUAGUCGAAAGAUUAGCUAAUACCGCAUACGUCCUGAGGGAGAAGGCGGGGGACCGAAAGGCCUCGCGCGAUUGGAGCGGCCGAUGUCAGAUUAGGUAGUUGGUGGGGUAAAGGCCUACCAAGCCGACGAUCUGUAGCGGGUCUGAGAGGAUGAUCCGCCACACUGGGACUGAGACACGGCCCAGACUCCUACGGGAGGCAGCAGUGGGGAAUUUUGGACAAUGGGGGCAACCCUGAUCCAGCCAUGCCGCGUGCGGGAAGAAGGCCUUCGGGUUGUAAACCGCUUUCGGACGGAAAGAAAUCGCGCAGGCUAAUAUCCUGUGUGGAUGACGGUACCGUAAGAAGAAGCACCGGCUAACUCCGUGCCAGCAGCCGCGGUAAUACGGGGGGUGCAAGCGUUAUUCGGAAUUAUUGGGCGUAAAGGGCGCGUAGGCGGUUUUAUAAGUCAGAUGUGAAAUACCUGGGCUUAACCGAGGAAGUGCAUUUGAAACUAUGAGACUUGAGUAUGGGAGAGGGUAGUGGAAUUCCUGGUGUAGAGGUGAAAUUCGUAGAUAUCAGGGAGGAACACCUGUGGCGAAAGCGGCUACCUGGACCAAUACUGACGCUGAGGCGCGAAGGCGUGGGGAGCAAACAGGAUUAGAUACCCUGGUAGUCCACGCAGUAAACGGUGAUCACUAGGUGUAGCGGGUAUUGACCCCCUGCUGUGCCGCAGUUAACACAUUAAGUGAUCCCGCCUGGGGAGUACGAUCGCAAGGUUAAAACUCAAAGGAUUUGACGGGGGCCCGCACAAGCGGUGGAGCAUGUGGGUUUAAUUCGACGCAACGCGAAGAACUUUACCUGGGUUUGACAUGGCAGGAAGUUUCUAGAGAUGGAAUUCGUUGCUCGAAGAGAACCUGCACACAAGGUGCUUGCAUAUGGCUUGUUCGUCAGCUCGUGGUCGUGAGAUGUUUGGGGGUUUAAGUUUCCCGCAACGAGGCGCAAACCCUUGGUCAUUUAAUUUGCUUACAUUUCGUUUGAACACCUUCUAAUUGGAACCUGGCCGGUGACAAACCGAAGGAGGUGGGGGAUGAUACGCUCAAGCUCCUCUCUGGGCCCCCCUUUAUGGUGGGUGUCAG
This 1255-nucleotide ribosomal RNA is filed under the name denitrifying bacterium enrichment culture clone NOA_1_F11. RNAcentral describes it as "partial 16S ribosomal RNA". It matches the Rfam family "Bacterial small subunit ribosomal RNA", at positions 9 to 1219 of the family's 1533-position model. The record is from RNAcentral.